CCUACGGGUGGCAGCAGUGAGGAAUAUUGGUCAAUGGGCGAGAGCCUGAACCAGCCAAGUCGCGUGAGGGAGUACUGCCCUAUGGGUUGUAAACCUCUUUUGUCGGGGAGCAAAAGCCGGACGGGUCCGGCUGUGAGAGUAUCCGAAGAAAAAGCAUCGGCUAACUCCGCGCCAGCAGCCGCGGUAAUACGGAGGAUGCGAGCGUUAUCCGGAUUUAUUGGGUUUAAAGGGUGCGCAGGCGGAUUGUUAAGUCAGCGGUAAAAUCGUGGGGCUCAACCCCCUCCAGCCGUUGAAACUGGGGAUCUAGAGUGUGCGAGAGGUAUGCGGAAUGCGUGGUGUAGCGGUGAAAUGCAUAGAUAUCACGCAGAACCCCGAUUGCGAAGGCAGCAUACCGGUGCACAACUGACGCUCAGGCACGAAAGCGUGGGUAUCGAACAGGAUUAGAUACCCGUGUAGUC
Molecule: ribosomal RNA, 458 nt
Filed under: uncultured bacterium
Lineage: Bacteria
Description: partial 16S ribosomal RNA
Rfam family: Bacterial small subunit ribosomal RNA
Source: RNAcentral